Molecule: ribosomal RNA, 585 nt
Filed under: uncultured bacterium
Lineage: Bacteria
Description: partial 16S ribosomal RNA
Rfam family: Bacterial small subunit ribosomal RNA
Source: RNAcentral
UGGGGAAUUUUGGACAAUGGGCGAAAGCCUGAUCCAGCAAUGCCGCGUGUGUGAAGAAGGCCUUCGGGUUGUAAAGCACUUUUGUCCGGAAAGAAAUCCUUGGCUCUAAUACAGUCGGGGGAUGACGGUACCGGAAGAAUAAGCACCGGCUAACUACGUGCCAGCAGCCGCGGUAAUACGUAGGGUGCAAGCGUUAAUCGGAAUUACUGGGCGUAAAGCGUGCGCAGGCGGUUUGCUAAGACCGAUGUGAAAUCCCCGGGCUCAACCUGGGAACUGCAUUGGUGACUGGCAGGCUAGAGUAUGGUAGAGGGGGGUAGAAUUCCACGUGUAGCAGUGAAAUGCGUAGAGAUGUGGAGGAAUACCGAUGGCGAAGGCAGCCCCCUGGGCCAAUACUGACGCUCAUGCACGAAAGCGUGGGGAGCAAACAGGAUUAGAUACCCUGGUAGUCCACGCCCUAAACGAUGUCAACUAGUUGUUGGGGAUUCAUUUCCUUAGUAACGUAGCUAACGCGUGAAGUUGACCGCCUGGGGAGUACGGUCGCAAGAUUAAAACUUAAAUGAAUUGACGGGGUCAUAGCUGUUUCCU